Non-coding RNA from Triticum aestivum (bread wheat), 135 nucleotides. NCBI's taxonomy places the organism in Eukaryota, Viridiplantae, Streptophyta, Magnoliopsida, Poales, Poaceae. The record is from Rfam.
CAACUACUCCCUCUGUCCCAAAUUUCUUAUUUUAGAUUUGUCUAGAUACGGAUGUAUCUAAUACUAAAAUGUGACUUGAUACAUCCGUAUCUAGACAAAUCUAAGACAAGAAUUUUGGGACGGAGGGAGUACUUU